RNAcentral lists this ribosomal RNA (504 nucleotides) under uncultured fungus. RNAcentral describes it as "SSU rRNA". It matches the Rfam family "Eukaryotic small subunit ribosomal RNA", at positions 248 to 755 of the family's 1831-position model. Lineage: Eukaryota; Fungi. The record is from RNAcentral.
GAUUCAUGAUAACUUCUCGAAUCGCAUGGCCUUGCGCCGGCGAUGGUUCAUUCAAAUUUCUUCCCUAUCAACUUUCGAUGUUUGGGUAGUGGCCAAACAUGGUUGCAACGGGUAACGGAGGGUUAGGGCUCGACCCCGGAGAAGGAGCCUGAGAAACGGCUACUACAUCCAAGGAAGGCAGCAGGCGCGCAAAUUACCCAAUCCCGAUUCGGGGAGGUAGUGACAAUAAAUACUGAUACAGGGCUCUUUUGGGUCUUGUAAUUGGAAUGAGUACAAUUUAAAUCCCUUAACGAGGAACAAUUGGAGGGCAAGUCUGGUGCCAGCAGCCGCGGUAAUUCCAGCUCCAAUAGCGUAUAUUAAAGUUGUUGUGGUUAAAAAGCUCGUAGUUGAACCUUGGGCCUGGCUGGCCGGUCCGCCUCACCGCGUGUACUGGUCCGGCCGGGCCUUUCCCUCUGUGGAACCCCAUGCCCUUCACUGGGUGUGGCGGGGAACCAGGACUUUUAC